UCAGACUGACCUACACAGCGGUUGGAUCCAUGCAUGCCCACAAAUUAGCGGGAGGUUUGGUUUAGGAGACCUGUUACAGGAGUAACAUCGUAGAAGCUAUCAAGGGACCUGAAUUCUAGUCUUGGCACUGCCUCUGACCUUCUCAGUGACUUACUCUGUUUCCAUGAAAAAACUAGUCUCUUCCACUUGAUCGCUUUGGUGGCUUUUUAAAGAUUUGUUUUAUUUGACAAGUGGAGACCCUGCUAUGUCACUCUUUUGCACGCAUGAACAACUUACACUGUAAUGGGGCAGAUGGGCUGUGAAGAGGAUAAACAUAGCUUUUUAAUCGUAGUGAAGUAAUGAAAAUGGUUGCCUUCUCUCCCCAGUCACGCAAAAUUGGUGAAGCAUUACUACUUAAAGAGGAACCAGAGCUUCUGCCCAACUGUCAACCUUGAUAAAACAUGGAUCUCAGUCAGUGAGCAGACACAGGUCAACGCUGCCAAGAACAAGGCUGGGUUGUGAAGACCCAGCCUGGGAGAGAUUUCACGACUUGUUCAAACUUUUGUUGCCAGCGUCUGAGUGAAGACUUGCACCUUGGAGUUGUAUCUCUAAGGAUAAAGUCUUCAGCCUCUUGAUCUUCCCUUAGUAUCAAAGGACAGAUUCAAACAAGGAAAUAGGGAAUGCAAAAACAAAGGAAGAACAAUCAAGAAACUAUAGUGCUGGAUGAGCAAGGUCCUGGUUCCUCCUCAGGGAAUGUACAUAAUAAUUACCAUUGAGUUCUACCGGAACUAAGGCCCCACCCAAGUGAAGGUGCAGAUGGUGACGGCAGCCAUGAAAUAAAAGGACACUCACUCCUUGGAAGAAAAGUUCUGACCAACUAAACAGCAUAUUAAAAAGCAGAGACA
Long non-coding RNA from Dama dama (fallow deer), 884 nucleotides. RefSeq lists it as uncharacterized. The transcript has 3 exons. The record is from RefSeq and is a predicted model, not a curated record. NCBI's taxonomy places the organism in Eukaryota, Metazoa, Chordata, Mammalia, Artiodactyla, Cervidae.